Non-coding RNA from Paramisgurnus dabryanus, 2277 nucleotides. NCBI's taxonomy places the organism in Eukaryota, Metazoa, Chordata, Actinopteri, Cypriniformes, Cobitidae. The record is from RefSeq and is a predicted model, not a curated record.
UUUUCUCCCUCUCUCUCAUGCUAUACAUGCCCGCCCCACGCACGUGUUUUGUAGUAACUCUGUGUAACAGUAACAUUGUAUGCUGUCAUAUUUCUGAAUUUGCGAAUGACGUGAAUCGGGCGGCACAAUUGCCGCGAAAACAAGCGCUUUUCCCUUUAAACACGUCUUCGCGCAAGUUAAAAAAUAUGCAGCUCAAGCGAAAAAACUUCAAGAAGCAGCUUCAAGAACGAGCACGCAGGAUCUUUUGACAUUGUAGAGGAGAGAGAGACCGAGAGAGAGAGAGAGAGAGGUAAGAAUAGUGCCCACGUUGAGAGAACUUAAUAGAAGACUAAAGUAUGUAUGUCAUUCAUCUAAUUACAGUAUGUUAACUGGAUAACACUGGAUAUAACUCAUUGUAUAGUUUAGUAAAAUAAUGUAUUUUGAUUACACAAAUCAAACAUAUAGUGAUUGUUUUACUAGCUGCUGACCAGCAUAGGGAAUCUCUAUGGCUAAUUUCUAAGACAUGUUGUUGAUACAGUACUGUGUGUUGUACCUUUUCUUGAUAAUUAAGUCUUUUGGGGUAGCAUCUUAUGCCUACACUGUUAGAUGUCGCUGUAGAUUUAGCAGUACAUUACUGUAAAAAUCCACAGUACUAUACUGUAUGUGUACAUUACAGUACAGUACUGCAGUUCAUAAUGCAUUCUGGGUAAAUUUGUUUGAGCGGGAAAAUUUUACAGUAUAUUUUGGUCUUGAUGUAACCUUGCUGUAGCCAUUGCUGUAAUGUGCCAGGUGUACUUGCAAUAAUCAGAGAAAGUGCGCCAACGUCAAAUCACACAGAGGGAGAGAGAGCACAACUCCUGGCUGCAGCUGAAGGAGGACGAUUGAUUUCUGGCAGUUCGUCUUACCAUUGCUUGUAAGCUGGAUUGGGUAAGAUGGAUCAUCUUUAAAGGAACCAGGAGUUAAGGCAGAUGUGGAGGCACAACGGGUGACACCAGACACACCCAAGCACAUUAUGUUCGGACAUUCAAUCAUGACAGGAUCCAGGUGGAUGCUGUCCAUUGAGGAAAGAGUUUGUUCAGCGGUUUCUGGAUAGAAUUAAUUCCAAAGAUGGGAAGAAGUGCACAUCCAGACAAGGAGCAGUUUAAUUUUUAAUUUAUUUUUAGUGUUCAAUGAAAUUCAAGUAGAAUAUUUAAAACUAUGGGCCAGUGUUCUUUUUACCACAGUGAAAUGUUACCUUUUAGUCGAUGAUGGACUUUAAACUGAAAACUUCAAACUAUGGACCAGUGUUCUAUUUGCCAGAGUUAAAUGUUACAGCAGGGGUCUCCAAACUUGUUUAUACUUGUUGAUUUUAUUUUAUUUAACUUGUUUAUAUGUUUAUUAUUGUUUAAAAUCUUGUUUUAAAUAUGUUUUGUUUCAAUUAAAUGUUUUUUUUAAAUAAAAUUUUGAUACAUACAUUGCUUGGAUUGCCUUUUAAUUCAUUAUGUUUUAAUGUAGCAUUUUUACCAUAUUAAUAACUAUAGAUUUAAACCUAAAUAUCUAGCUAUUAUAUAUAAUAUUAUUGUAUUAACUGUAAUAAGUAAUAAAUAGUAUUUAUGGGUCAAUAUAGACAUUACAGUAAAUUACUGUAAAAAUAGACUACUGUAAUAAAAUAUUGUAAAAUUACAGUACAGUACUGCUUUGUAACUAUACAGUACUAGUUUGUGUACUGUAAAAUGGUAUUACAGUACAGUACUGUAAAACCAAAAUACAGUAACUUACUGGCAACCGUGCUGCCAGUACCGUACUGUAAAAAUACAGGGAAAUCGUUAACAGUGUAGAAUUAUUCAAGGAGCUUGAUUCUUUUAACUUCCUUCAACGUUUGAUCAAUUGUGCAUAAUGACAUGUGCAACAAAUGGAUAUAGGGUGUAAAACUCAUAGACUUGCAUCAUUUAAGACGCUCUUUUUAAAAUAUUUUGGGUCAACCUCUGACACAGGAUUUGAUAAGUUUCAGCUUUAAAUCUAUCAGAAGUCCAGAAUGUCAUUGAAACACACCAGUGGCUUUGCUGUCAUCAGGAUUAAACAUGUUACCCCUCGAAGUACCCCUCCCCACAGAGCUCCCACAUAACAAAUCACAAUUUAACCCCUUUAUAUACAUACCCAACCAAUCCCCCCCAAAGAUGAAAACCUAGGGGAAACACUGAACCCCCAUGUGAACAGCUUCAUGCAGUCCCUGAUAGAGUUUGAAUGGGCGACUUCAAACUAAAGGCCAGUGUCUGUCUGCCAAAGUUUAAUGCAUUUACUUUUAGGGGCGGUUUCCCG